AUUAGAUAAUUGAGUGCUGCCAACUCCUGUGAGGGCAGCAUGGCUUUGCUCAGCUGCUUCCAGCAACGGAGCACUGUGGCCGUGGGGGACUGUGUCCUCUCUCGUCCCUGCUCUUCAUCACCUGUCUAAGGUUUGUGAGGUGUACUUUGUGGCUUGGCUACUUAGAAGGAAACACAGAGGGACGCUGGAAUUAAUUUAAGCAACCAAAUUCAGAUGCCAGCUUGAGUGCCUGAGGCAGCUGAAGGAACUGGACCAGGCUAUCGUUCCUGAUGAAGCUUCCACUUCCUGCUGUAUAGGAGACCUCUUCCUGCCCCUGUGGCUGGGCAAGGUGGGAACAUUUAAGGCAACCUCACCAUCCUUGGGUUUGGAAGGAGGCGUGGGGACAUCGUUGUGUGAACGCUGCUCCCUAACACAAGCAGUUUCCCAGGAAAGAAAAGCUUGCAGCUCAUUCUGCUGAUUGCCAGACUUCAUUCCACUAUGCACAAUGAGAUAUACACUCCUGAACUUCUGUUAAGACCCUCCUGUUGGAAGUUCCCUGGAGCAGCAGUUUCUUGUGCCCAGCAGCGUGUGCUUAUAGACCCUACCAGGACAGAAAAGCACAACAGCUGAGUGUGUUUGAUGAACCUACACCAGACAUUAGGCUGAUGGUACCAACGACAGUAACCUCAGUGUUAUGGCACCUCAUCCCAAGAAGGCUUCCCAUCAUUGAAAUAUAUUCCCAUCAUUGAAAUAUCAUUGAAAUAUAUUUCUAAUGGAAAAUCUAUUUACUUCAGCACCGUGCCUGGGUUAUGAGGGAGGUUAUGAAACUGGCUGGGAGCACUAAGCCAGUGCAGGUCCUUCUGCCUUCCAGCUGAUACCACUGUACCCAGGAACAUGCUGCUGGCGCCCAAAAGCUAGCA
This 899-nucleotide long non-coding RNA is filed under the name Anser brachyrhynchus (Pink-footed goose). RNAcentral's name for it is "lncRNA (ENSABRG00000010743.1)". Lineage: Eukaryota; Metazoa; Chordata; Aves; Anseriformes; Anatidae. The record is from RNAcentral.